AUCUUUGCGCUUGGUUGGGGCAAUGACGCAGCUAAUAAGGUUCGAACCGAGACACGUCGAUUGUUAGUUGAAAACUAUUUUCAAAUCCCUUUUUAGUCCUCGAGCUUGAAUCGAGUUUUUGAAUUUUUUUUGAAUUUGAAUUUUUUUG
Small nuclear RNA from Hibiscus syriacus, 148 nucleotides. RefSeq annotates it as U4 spliceosomal RNA. The transcript has a single exon. The record is from RefSeq and is a predicted model, not a curated record. NCBI's taxonomy places the organism in Eukaryota, Viridiplantae, Streptophyta, Magnoliopsida, Malvales, Malvaceae.